Molecule: long non-coding RNA, 4820 nt
Organism: Felis catus (domestic cat)
Lineage: Eukaryota; Metazoa; Chordata; Mammalia; Carnivora; Felidae
Exons: 2
Source: RefSeq, a predicted model, not a curated record
CCCUGGAAUGAAUGAUCCAAGAGAAUGUGUGCUACCAAGAUGGAAGCCAUGGUGUCUUUUCUAAUACAAUCUUGGAAGUGAUAUGCCAUAACUUUUUCAUAUUCUAUUGGUCACACAGACUAACCCUGGUACAAUGUGGGAGGGGAACACAAAAGUUGUAAACACCAGCAGAUAUGGAGCAUUGGAACCAGCCAUUGGAAGCUGGUUACAAGUGGCCAGAGGAGUGUCUGGCACACAAUUAUUCAUUAGUAGCUGCUGUUAGUUUCCCAAUGCUCACAGACUGCGUGGGACAACAAGACUUGAACAUGAACAGAUGAAAGAGCUUGGCAAAGUAGACUUGAAUUGGGUGAUGCUCAAUUAUGUGGUAGAAGAGGGUGUGCUGGACAAGGGUGGAAACCAGGGCAGGAUCCCUAGCAGAGGUGAAAAGGACAGGAGAGGCCAAUCCAGAGAGGAGACAGAGUUAAGUAUGGCAAGAACUACUGGUUGCCUUCAUAUAGCCAAUUCCCUUUCCUUGUUUUAGUAGCAAGGUACCUAGUCACAGGGAUAAUCCAAACCAUUCAUGGAAAUGCCUUCCUCUUCACCAGUGAGUAGUCUAAGAGUAGACAUGUGGCUUCAUUUUGGUCAAUAAGAUGUAAGGGGAUGAUCCGCUUGGAAAAAUCUCCUCCUGGAUGACACAGGCAUGAGAGAAGAAGAGCUUUUAUGCUCCCAUUCCCUUUCUUCCUGCUUGGGAGGACAUGGUGCUUGGUGCCAUAUCAGCCAUUUUGUGAUCACAGAGGAGUCCCUCUCAGAGCUUAGAAUUGGAAAAGCCUUGACCAUUAAACAUGGUUGAGUCACCAGACAAACCUGGACCUACCUUCCCCCCCUCUCCUUGUUAAGGAAACAAAAGGUUUAAGCCUCUAAAUCAGGUAUUCUCUUACUUGCAUUCUAAGUGAUUCAGUGAGCAAAGUAUUCCAAUUCCCUCUCGAGUUAUUUCCUUUUCCCAAGGCAGAUAGAGUGGAAAUGUAAAUGGGAAAGAGACUUGGCCUUGGAGGCAGGCGGCCUUGGUCUAACCCUAGCUCUGCCUCUGAGUUGCCCUGUGAUCUUGAGCAAGUCCCUGCCCCUCUGGACCUCCAAUAAUUAUAGCUAAUAUUUAUUGACUGCUUACUCUGUGCCAAGCACUCUGCUAAGAGCUUCCCUUGCAUUAUCUCAUUCAAUGCUCACAUCAACUAUAGUGUGUCAAUAUUAUUAUUCUCUCUAUUUUAUGGAUAAGGAGACUGAGAUCCAGACAUAUUAUGUAAUUUACCCAAGGUUACACAUGAAAUUAGUGCUGGAUCUCUGGAUUCUGAAUUCAGGCUCAUCUCUCUCUAAAACCCAGGCUCCUGACCAUGAUGCUCUACCACCCAGCGGUAAAAGGAAGUCUCUGGACAAAAUGACCUCUAAGGGCCUUUCCAGCUCAGAUAUUCUUUGAUUUGCUGUCCCAUUUCUAGCUACAUGAUGAACAAACCAGCUUAUCCUAGAGAAGAAAGAAAUAAAGACUGUCUUUAGCCAUAUGAAAAGCUGUCAUGUGAGUGGGAGAUUAGACUUUCUCAGUGUAGCUCAGAGGACGUGAACUGGACCAAUGUGGGGACACUACAGGAAGAGAGUGCAGCUUACAUAAGAGAGAACUUUCUAUCUGCCAUUCAGCAGGGAGUAGAGGUAUGCACACAGAUAAUGACUCCCCUGUCAUGAAACUUAUGCAAGUAUAUGUUUGAUAAACUUUUGACAGAAGUACUCCAUUGAGUAGGUAUGGGAAUAAAUGGCUUAAACCUUAUAGUAGAAAUUAAAUGGGAAAAUAUACUAGAAUACUUUCAGCACCAUAACUGAUACAAAUAGUGGGAGUCGAUAAACUGGGGUUUCUUUUCCCUUUUGACACUGAGAUUCUUGGAUUUUAAUAUUCCCUGAUAUGGACUUUUGGUUCUUUGGCUCUAGUAUUCUAUAGUAUUUCUAUAACUUCAACACACUGUGUUCUGCCCUGCUAAGUUGGUACGGUUUUAAUAUUCCAACUAUCCAUGGUCAUGUGGCUCUAGAAGCUGAGCAGUCUAUGAUUUUGUACCUUAAUAGUCUCUAGUUUUAACAGUCCAAGAUUCAAUAAAGUGUCUCUCAGAAGCUCCAGAAAUAUGAAGGAGUUGUUCCAAAUGCUGUACUUCAGUGACCCGGACAUACAUUGGGCUACUCCCUGUGUCCAUCUUAUCACUCCACCACUAUCCCCCCACCCUAGCCUCGGGCUCUUCAUUCCAACCAACCCUCCUCCUUGAUCUCUAUACCAUCCUCACUCUGCUAUCUCCCCAAACACUGAGGAAGUACAUUCACUCUCUAUCUGCUGGAAAUUAUACAUUGAACAAGGAUCUGCUCUGUGCCAAGACUUGUGCUUACUCUAAAGGGGAUAUAAGGGAAGGAGAAGGCAUGGUCAUGACUCUCAGGAGGCCUAAGAUUUAGAGACCCAAGUCUCUUGAUUUCCUUUAAGUUCAGCUCAAGCUCACCUCUACCAGCAAAUUUUCCUUUAUUAACACAAAAUAUCUAGCACCAAAAACCUCAAUCAGAAGUGUGAAGAUCUAAGUUCUUUGGUAGGUUAUUGUGCACAUUUUAAUGUCUCUGCCCAUCGUCUCCCUGAUUAUAACUGAGGUUUCCCUCUAAAUCAAGAACAUGUCUCCUCAGCUGAACUGAGAUUUUCCAGAGGAAGACCAGGUCUUCCUCAUAAGACUGGAGGCUCCAUGUAGACAUGGUCCAUGCCUCCCUUAUAUCAUACUUGAGUUAGAGUUAAAGACACAGUGAUGUUUCUCCACCACUUUAACAAAUUCUCAAAGGUAGUUCAUAACUAUCAUUGGACUGAGGAUUUUAUAAAAGCAUAACUCACAUCUCCCUUUAAUAUGGGAAAGUCCUCAAGGCCAAGAAAGGGCUUCCACCCUCAUACUGGGGUCCAUCUCCCUGACAGCAAAGGGUCUAGGGCUCUUCCCUCUCUUCCUAUUUCUUCAAUCCCAGCCGAGGACUCUAGCCAUAAGAGAUAUUUUUCCUAAAGAUGAUAAACAAAUAAAUGGAAAAGGGAAGAUUCAGAAGACAGAAUAGGAACUCAAGCCUGUCCCCAGCAGGUCCAGACCUUUUCUUACUCUAUCCUGGUCCAUCUUCUAAAAGCUGCUGUCCCUCUGCCUCUCCUAGCAACUCAGAGCAGUAAGUGAAGAUGUCAGCACCUUGGACAGCGCCCAACCCAUUACAGUUCUCAGAGCCAGCGGAAGCCAAGCUCUCCAACUCCCUUAGCCUCUGGGUGAUGGAUUUCCUCGUUUCUCAAUUUGAUUAAAGCCCAGUAGAUAAGCAGAGCGCAUUGUUCCUUUCUCUUCUCUCUUCCUGAUGAACAUAAUUAACUCCGUCAGGCUGGGAAUACUUGCUCUUAAAUAGUGCCUUUCCAGCCCCCACCCAGGCAUGCGUCAAUAAUACACAGUCAAAACAUUUGGAAGAUACACGUUCUUUCCUGGGGAAUGGAAGUGGGAGAGGAAGCUCUUCCUGAGAUAUACAGGGGCUGUGACUGGAGACUGAAAAAUUGUGGUUGGGUAAAGAAAACCUUGAGCCAAAAGUCAGGAAAUCUUAAGUUUGUUCUGGCCUUGCCACUAAUCUAGAUAGGAUCUAGAACAAGUCACAUGCUCUUUAUGAGCCUGUUUUUUCCAUUUAUAAGAUGAGGAUAUUGGAUGAGAAGAUCUCAAAUGCUAUGUUCAGUGCUUAGAUUCUAUGGGGAGGAUUAAAACAGAGGGAAAGAGGCUUGCCUAAGGUCACAAAGCAAGCUCGUGGCAAAGCUGGUUUUGAAUUCAUGACUCCUGGCUUCUACUUCAGUGCUAUUCCCUUUACACAGAACUUCCCCCUUCCUCCAUAUUACAUAAUUUCUUGCCUGGGGAUGUGGCUGAGGCAGCUGAAGAGGGGUGGGAUUGAGAUUACUGGUGCCAACAAAAGAAAAUAAAAUUUAAGUACUCAUCAUCAUCUGCUUUAACUGCUCCCAAAGAAUGAGCACCUGUAUUUUACUCAGUUUUGAAUCACUCAGAAUGCUCAACACAGAUUUAAAAUAUAAUAGAACCCCAGUAAGUACUGGAUGGAUGGACAGAUGGAUGAUGAAUAUAGAUGUAUGAGUGACUGGGAGAGGGAGUAGAUGAAGAGAUGGAUGUGUGGAUGGAUAGGAGGUUUAUAUUGGUAGAUGGUGAAUGGAUGGAUGAACAGUUAAGUAGAUGAUCAGACAGGUGGAUAGAAAUGUAUAAAUGGGUAAAUGAGUUGGUUUGUAGGUAGGUGGAUGGACAGGUGAAUGAGUGCAUGAAUGAAUCUAUGGGCAGCUGAGUAGAACAGUAUGUAGGCAGAGAGUGAGGUUGGUGAAUGGAUGGAUGAAUAUAUAGAUAGUAGUGUGGGUGAAUGGGUAGAUGGAUAAUUGCAUGAUUGUAUGAGAAAUGUCAGGGUGGAUGUUAAGAAUUAUGGGGAAGAAACAUGGAGAUGUUCCUAAUUAUCACAAAGAUCAUUUUCAUGGAGACUUUCCAUUGCUAAUGUCAGAAAAAAAAAUGAUGAUGGGGAUUUGCUGACUCUGUGUGUAAGCUGAGUCAAAAGUGUGCUAUCCAGCCUCAAAAGAUUUCCAUCAAUUUCAGGCUCUAUCAAUGGAAAUCUAAUAUCAACAUCAGAAAAGGUGACAGUCCUGCCCUGACCUGUUCACACUGUCCUGAAGUCUUUGUUCUGCUCUGUGCAUCUGGGGAGAUGAUGAUCUCCAUGCCUUGUCCACAGAAGAGAUACAGUGGGGAGUAAUAUGUAAAGUCUACCAAAUAAAGAACUAGUGAAAGAGC